CCUACGGGAGGCAGCAGUGGGGAAUAUUGGACAAUGGGGGAAACCCUUAUCCAGCGACGCCGCGUGAGGGAAGAAGGUUUUCGGAUUGUAAACCUCUGUCAGCGGGGACGAGAAUGACGGUACCCACGGAGGAAGCCACGGCUAACGACGUGCCAGCAGCCGCGGUAAUACGUAGGGGGCAAGCGUUGUCCGGAAUUACUGGGUGUAAAGGGAGCGUAGGCGGGAUUUCAAGUCAGAAGUGAAAAUUCUGGGCUCCACUCAGAACCUGCUUUUGAAACUGAUAUUCUUGAGUGAAGUAGAGGCAAGCGGCAUUCCUAGUGUAGCGGUGCACUGCGUAGAUAUUAGGAGGCACACCAGUGGCGCAGGCGGCUUGCUGGGCUUUUACUGCCGCUGAGGCUCGACCGCGUGGGGAGCAAACAGGAUUAGAUACCCGUGUAGUC
This 440-nucleotide ribosomal RNA is filed under the name uncultured bacterium. RNAcentral describes it as "partial 16S ribosomal RNA". It matches the Rfam family "Bacterial small subunit ribosomal RNA", at positions 338 to 795 of the family's 1533-position model. The record is from RNAcentral.